GACGAACGCUGGCGGCGUGCCUAAUACAUGCAAGUUGAGCGCUGAAGGUUGGUACUUGUACCGACUGGAUGAGCAGCGAACGGGUGAGUAACGCGUGGGGAAUCUGCCUUUGAGCGGGGGACAACAUUUGGAAACGAAUGCUAUUACCGCAUAAAAACUUUAAACACAAGUUUUAAGUUUGAAAGAUGCAAUUGCAUCACUCAAAGAUGAUCCCGCGUUGUAUUAGCUAGUUGGUGAGGUAAAGGCUCACCAAGGCGAUGAUACAUAGCCGACCUGAGAGGGUGAUCGGCCACAUUGGGACUGAGACACGGCCCAAACUCCUACGGGAGGCAGCAGUAGGGAAUCUUCGGCAAUGGACGAAAGUCUGACCGAGCAACGCCGCGUGAGUGAAGAAGGUUUUCGGAUCGUAAAACUCUGUUGGUAGAGAAGAACGUUGGUGAGAGUGGAAAGCUCAUCAAGUGACGGUAACUACCCAGAAAGGGACGGCUAACUACGUG
RNAcentral lists this ribosomal RNA (497 nucleotides) under uncultured bacterium. RNAcentral describes it as "partial 16S ribosomal RNA". It matches the Rfam family "Bacterial small subunit ribosomal RNA", at positions 28 to 507 of the family's 1533-position model. The record is from RNAcentral.